Molecule: long non-coding RNA, 219 nt
Filed under: Elaeis guineensis (African oil palm)
Lineage: Eukaryota; Viridiplantae; Streptophyta; Magnoliopsida; Arecales; Arecaceae
Description: long non-coding RNA (EGUI_LNC017135)
Source: RNAcentral
CUCCAGUGGCCUUCAACAUCAUAGUGGAAAUACUUUUUCUUUGCUUCAGCCUUCUUUGGAACAUUCUUCUUUGACUUGCUCUCUUUCUUCUGCUUCUUCAUGGGUUUACUUUUUUUCUUUCAAUCAGACUUUCUUUUGAAUAAAAAAAUCUACUCCACAGCGAGAAUAGUACCCCUUGAUCUCUUCAAGGUUUUCUCAACAGUGACCAACAUGUUAACC